This 305-nucleotide ribosomal RNA is filed under the name uncultured bacterium. RNAcentral describes it as "bacterial SSU rRNA". It matches the Rfam family "Bacterial small subunit ribosomal RNA", at positions 333 to 637 of the family's 1533-position model. The record is from RNAcentral.
AUUAGCCUACGGGGCGCAGCAGUGGGGAAUAUUGCACAAUGGGGGAAACCCUGAUGCAGCGACGCCGCGUGAGUGAAGAAGUAUUUCGGUAUGUAAACCUCUUUUGUCGGGGAGCAAAAGACGCCACGCGUGGCGUUCCGAGAGUACCCGAAGAAAAAGCAUCGGCUAACUCCGUGCCAGCAGCCGCGGUAAUACGGAGGAUGCGAGCGUUAUCCGGAUUUAUUGGGUUUAAAGGGUGCGCAGGCGGAAGAUCAAGUCAGCGGUAAAAUUGAGAGGCUCAACCUCUUCGAGCCGUUGAAACUGGU